UGCGUAGGCGGCUAGGCAAGUCAGACGUGAAAACCAUGGGCUCAACCUGUGGACUGCGUUUGAAACUGUUUAGCUUGAGUGAAGUAGAGGUAGGCGGAAUUCCCGGUGUAGCGGUGAAAUGCGUAGAGAUCGGGAGGAACACCAGUGGCGAAGGCGGCCUACUGGGCUUUAACUGACGCUGAGGCACGAAAGCAUGGGUAGCAAACA
Molecule: ribosomal RNA, 207 nt
Filed under: uncultured bacterium
Lineage: Bacteria
Description: partial 16S ribosomal RNA
Rfam family: Bacterial small subunit ribosomal RNA
Source: RNAcentral